This 499-nucleotide long non-coding RNA is filed under the name Equus caballus (horse). Its description in RNAcentral is "lncRNA (ENSECAG00000047152.1)". Lineage: Eukaryota; Metazoa; Chordata; Mammalia; Perissodactyla; Equidae. The record is from RNAcentral.
GUCUGUGCUUAAAUCCGGCUCUACUGCUUUUUUCCCACCCCAACAGCUCUCUAUCAGUAGCCAAUCAAUGUUAUAUAAUUUUUUGGCCCUUCUGUGUGUGGCUGUGCAUGCGUGCAUGUGUGUACAUGUUCACAGUUCAAGCUGGACUCCUCUGGCUCUGCAUGUGUGUACACUUCUGGCAUCUGAGGUCUGCCUCUAGCAUUUUGUGGAUUAACUCUGGCAGUACAGAAGAGGAAGGGAACUUCUUUUCUCUGUUCUCAUCUCCAGGGAGGCGUGUCCAGAUCCCCUUGCCAGGCAGCUGCCUUAUAGGAGCACUGGAAGCCAGGUAGCUGACUUUCCUCCGGGGGAAAAAAGAAAGAACAAAAGAAGGAAGAGGAGAGAGAGAGAGACAGAGAGAUGAGAGGAAAGGAAGGAGAAGACAGAAGCCAGGCAUGUGGCCGAGGGCCCCGCGCGCGGACUCGGCCGGGCUGGGCAGCGGCGUCCCGGCGGGCGGGCGGGC